Molecule: ribosomal RNA, 999 nt
Filed under: Campylobacter upsaliensis
Lineage: Bacteria; Pseudomonadati; Campylobacterota; Epsilonproteobacteria; Campylobacterales; Campylobacteraceae
Description: bacterial SSU rRNA
Rfam family: Bacterial small subunit ribosomal RNA
Source: RNAcentral
GCAAGCGUUACUCGGAAUCACUGGGCGUAAAGGGCGCGUAGGCGGAUUAUCAAGUCUCUUGUGAAAUCUAAUGGCUUAACCAUUAAACUGCUUGGGAAACUGAUAGUCUAGAGUGAGGGAGAGGCAGAUGGAAUUGGUGGUGUAGGGGUAAAAUCCGUAGAUAUCACCAAGAAUACCCAUUGCGAAGGCGAUCUGCUGGAACUCAACUGACGCUAAGGCGCGAAAGCGUGGGGAGCAAACAGGAUUAGAUACCCUGGUAGUCCACGCCCUAAACGAUGUAUGCUAGUUGUUGGGGUGCUAGUCAUCUCAGUAAUGCAGCUAACGCAUUAAGCAUACCGCCUGGGGAGUACGGUCGCAAGAUUAAAACUCAAAGGAAUAGACGGGGACCCGCACAAGCGGUGGAGCAUGUGGUUUAAUUCGAAGAUACGCGAAGAACCUUACCUAGGCUUGAUAUCCAACAAAUUCUGUAGAGAUACGGAAGUGCUAGCUUGCUAGAAUGUUGAGACAGGUGCUGCACGGCUGUCGUCAGCUCGUGUCGUGAGAUGUUGGGUUAAGUCCCGCAACGAGCGCAACCCUCGUCCUUAGUUGCUAACGAUUCGGUCGAGCACUCUAAGGAGACUGCCUUCGUAAGGAGGAGGAAGGUGGGGACGACGUCAAGUCAUCAUGGCCCUUACGCCUAGGGCGACACACGUGCUACAAUGGCAUAUACAAUGAGACGCAAUACCGCGAGGUGGAGCAAAUCUAUAAAAUAUGUCCCAGUUCGGAUUGUUCUCUGCAACUCGAGAGCAUGAAGCCGGAAUCGCUAGUAAUCGCAAAUCAGCCAUGUUGCGGUGAAUACGUUCCCGGGUCUUGUACUCACCGCCCGUCACACCAUGGGAGUUGAUUUCACUCGAAGUGGAAAUACUAAACUAGUUAUCCCCCACAGUGGAAUCAGCGACUGGGGUGAAGUCGUAACAAGGUAACCGUAGGAGAACCUGCGGUUGGAUCACCUCCUUUCUA